GUUGAGUAUCAGAUUGCUGCAGACCUGCUGAGUUGCAUGGGGAUGUUUCGACUGCAGAAUCCUGACACGUGAACUUUGGCACAUUGACCAAGGAGCUUCUUGCCCCUGCUUUGAGGAUGCAGAGAGCUGGCACUCUGCUUAUUGACUGCACGCCUGGGAAGAUGUUAUCGUCAGCAGCAAAGCUCCUUCGGAUUGCCACCCCCCCCCCUCCCCACCAUGGCUGUCAUUCUAACGUUUUGUCCUUUCAAGGUUUGCCAGUCUUGCGAUAUUCUUCGUUUGAGAUAAAAAGCCCCGGAUGAAUGAAAAUGAUCUGUCUCCCUACAUUCCGAAAAUAUUAUUCUGACCUCUUGCUAUACUACUUGGAGACAUGAGCACAGGACCCCAGGCAACCCUCUGCCCUUUUGCUCAGUCACAGUGAUGUGACAGUUGGGCCUGUUCUGCAUCCUGCCUGGCAAAUGGCAGCUUACAUCAAAGAACAAGCAAAGAACUCUGACUGGAUGCCUCCGAUGGCCUGGCUUGAACGUUUCAGCCCAGAGGGAAGACCUCUCUAACGCACAACGUCGCCGUUCCAACUGAAGGCUCUGUGCGACCUAGUCUACGAGCGGACAUGUGUAUGAGUGUGACUCACAACUCGAAGGAUUACAGUCCUGAAACGUGUCAAUCCACCAUAACCUUGAGGAACAUAAUUAUAAUUUAUAUUGGUUUUUACGUCGUUUUCAUGGUGAUUAGAAGCUUUAAAAUGCCACAUCGGCCACUGGAACAAGACAGGAGCAGGGAAAAUAUUUAGAAUUGAAAAACUGUAAGAUAUGUGGGGCUUUGGUGCAAUACUGGUAGGUGUUAAAGAAACUGCUCAAAACUAACCCAGGCAUCAUUCUAAGAAAGAACUGUCUGUGGUCGCCAAGUGACAGAGCAACAUAUAAGUGAAGACGUAUUAUGUGAUCGGUGCAUUUCUGAUAGUAUGUGGUCCUCGGGA
Molecule: long non-coding RNA, 973 nt
Organism: Brienomyrus brachyistius
Lineage: Eukaryota; Metazoa; Chordata; Actinopteri; Osteoglossiformes; Mormyridae
Exons: 3
Source: RefSeq, a predicted model, not a curated record